RNAcentral lists this transfer RNA (73 nucleotides) under Streptomyces sp. SID3212. RNAcentral's name for it is "tRNA-Lys". It matches the Rfam family "tRNA". Rfam says of the family: Transfer RNA (tRNA) molecules are approximately 80 nucleotides in length. Lineage: Bacteria; Bacillati; Actinomycetota; Actinomycetes; Kitasatosporales; Streptomycetaceae. The record is from RNAcentral.
ACUCCGUUAGCUCAGUUGGUAGAGCAAAGGACUUUUAAUCCUUCGGUCGCUGGUUCGAGUCCAGCACGGAGUA